Molecule: ribosomal RNA, 406 nt
Filed under: uncultured bacterium
Lineage: Bacteria
Description: partial 16S ribosomal RNA
Rfam family: Bacterial small subunit ribosomal RNA
Source: RNAcentral
AUUGACCGCUGGCGGCAGGCCUAACCCAUGCAAGUCGAACGAGUGGCGGACGGGUGAGUAAUGUCUGGGAAACUGCCCGAUGGAGGGGGAUAACUACGGGACACGGUAGCUAAUACCGCAUACCAUCGGAUGUGCCCAGAGGGGAUUAGCUAGUAGGUGGGGUAACGGCUCACCUAGGCGCCGAGCCCUAGCUGGUCUGAGAGGAUGACCAGCCACAAUGGAACUGAGACACGGGCCAGACUCCUACGGUAGGCAGCAGUGGGGAAUAUUGCACAAUGGGCGCAAGCCUGAGACAGCCAUGCCGCGUGUAUGAAGAAGGCCUUCGGGUUGUAAAGUACUUUCAGCGAGGAGGCGUUACUCGCAGAAGAAGCACCGGCUAACUCCGUGCCAGCCGCCGCGGUAAUAC